RNAcentral lists this ribosomal RNA (1173 nucleotides) under uncultured marine bacterium. RNAcentral describes it as "bacterial SSU rRNA". It matches the Rfam family "Bacterial small subunit ribosomal RNA", at positions 64 to 1238 of the family's 1533-position model. The record is from RNAcentral.
GAGGGGCAGCGGGAGUGCUUGCACUCGCCGGCGACCGGCGCACGGGUGCGGAACGCGUAUCGAAUCUACCUCUAUCUGGGGGAUACCCCAUGGAAACGUGGAAUAAUACCCCAUAGUAUUACUUUUUCGCAUGAUUUAGUAAUUAAAGAAUUUCGGAUAGAGAUGACGAUGCGUAUCAUUAGCUAGUAGGUAAGGUAACGGCUUACCUAGGCUACGAUGAUUAGGGGUCCUGAGAGGGAGAUCCCCCACACUGGUACUGAGACACGGACCAGACUCCUACGGGAGGCAGCAGUGAGGAAUAUUGGACAAUGGUCGAAAGACUGAUCCAGCCAUGCCGCGUGCAGGAUGACUGCCCUAUGGGUUGUAAACUGCUUUUAUACGGGAAGAAAAACACCUACGUGUAGGUGACUGACGGUACCGUAAGAAUAAGGACCGGCUAACUCCGUGCCAGCAGCCGCGGUAAUACGGAGGGUCCAAGCGUUAUCCGGAAUCAUUGGGUUUAAAGGGUCCGUAGGCGGAUAAUUAAGUCAGAGGUGAAAUCUUGCAGCUCAACUGUAAAAUUGCCUUUGAUACUGGUUAUCUUGAGUUAUUAUGAAGUAGUUAGAAUAUGUAGUGUAGCGGUGAAAUGCAUAGAUAUUACAUAGAAUACCAAUUGCGAAGGCAGAUUACUAAUAAUCAACUGACACUGAUGGACGAAAGCGUGGGUAGCGAACAGGAUUAGAUACCCUGGUAGUCCACGCCGUAAACGAUGGUUACUAGCUGUUUGGACCUUGUGUCUGAGUGGCUAAGCGAAAGUGAUAAGUAACCCACCUGGGGAGUACGUUCGCAAGAAUGAAACUCAAAGGAAUUGACGGGGGCCCGCACAAGCGGUGGAGCAUGUGGUUUAAUUCGAUGAUACGCGAGGAACCUUACCAGGGCUUAAAUGGAAAAUGACAGGGGCAGAGACGCCCCCUUCUUCGGACAUUUUUCAAGGUGCUGCAUGGUUGUCGUCAGCUCGUGCCGUGAGGUGUCAGGUUAAGUCCUAUAACGAGCGCAACCCCUACCGUUAGUUGCCAGCGUGUAAUGACGGGGACUCUAACGGAACUGCCGGUGCAAACCGUGAGGAAGGUGGGGACGACGUCAAAUCAUCACGGCCCUUACGUCCUGGGCCACACACGUGCUACAAUGGUAGGU